This 471-nucleotide ribosomal RNA is filed under the name uncultured bacterium. Its description in RNAcentral is "bacterial SSU rRNA". It matches the Rfam family "Bacterial small subunit ribosomal RNA", at positions 9 to 524 of the family's 1533-position model. The record is from RNAcentral.
GAGUUUGAUCGUGGCUCAGAGCGAACGCUGGCGGCAGGCUUAACACAUGCAAGUCGAGCGGGCGUAGCAAUACGUCAGCGGCAGACGGGUGAGUAACGCGUGGGAACGUACCUUUUGGUUCGGAACAACACAGGGAAACUUGUGCUAAUACCGGAUAAGCCCUUACGGGGAAAGAUUUAUCGCCGAAAGAUCGGCCCGCGUCUGAUUAGCUAGUUGGUGAGGUAACGGCUCACCAAGGCGACGAUCAGUAGCUGGUCUGAGAGGAUGAUCAGCCACAUUGGGACUGAGACACGGCCCAAACUCCUACGGGAGGCAGCAGUGGGGAAUAUUGGACAAUGGGCGCAAGCCUGAUCCAGCCAUGCCGCGUGAGUGAUGAAGGCCCUAGGGUUGUAAAGCUCUUUUGUGCGGGAAGAUAAUGACGGUACCGCAAGAAUAAGCCCCGGCUAACUUCGUGCCAGCCGCCGCCGUAAG